UCAUUUCAGCUCAGUUCACUUUGGAAAAAUUUCGAAAUUUCGAUAAAAAUUCGACCUAAAUAUUUGAUAAGCAGUUAGUUCUCUAAAUCGCCGUAGCUUCACUUUAGAAUAUUCAUCUUUCUUUCACCAAAUUAUCUUGAACACCCUUUAAAGUGCACACAUUUAAUUAGCCGAAUUUAUUUUCGACAGUGUGUGCUCAUCAUCAGGGAGCGGUGGCCACAGAAACCGCCGUCUCAUGAUUUAAAUUUAAUGCAACUUUUGCUUUAUAGCCAAACUGUCGCGCACACAGACACACAUCACACAGAACCCCCACCCACCCACACACACACAUUAAUGUAAAAGCUAUAAAGUCAUGUGCAACACCAUUGCCACUUCCGGGCGGUGGCAACAGCAGCAAAACAGGAGCAGCUGCAGACCCAGGAGCAGGAGCAGGAGCGGAGCAGGAUCAGCCGCCGGUUCGGGACUCUCUGGCAGCUAUUUGGUCACUGCACUUAGUGCACUUCCUUUGCUCGCAUUGCUGGGGUUUUUCGCCAGCCAGGGAAAAGGGGUUAAGGGUUUUUUAAACUUGCUACUCAUUUCGGAUUGGGGUAGUUGGAAAUAAUACUGCAUUAU
Drosophila melanogaster (fruit fly) is the source of this 612-nucleotide non-coding RNA. Lineage: Eukaryota; Metazoa; Arthropoda; Insecta; Diptera; Drosophilidae. The record is from Ensembl.